AUGCUCGCUUCAGCAGCACAUAUGCUAAAAAUUGGAACAACAUAGAGCAGAUCAGCAUGGCCCGUGUGCAGACAGGUAAUAGAAAAUCACACGAGGAGCCAGAUGACCUA
This 110-nucleotide small nuclear RNA is filed under the name Octodon degus (degu). The record is from RNAcentral. Lineage: Eukaryota; Metazoa; Chordata; Mammalia; Rodentia; Octodontidae.